GACGAACGCUGGCGGCACGCUUAACACAUGCAAGUCUAACGAGAGAAGAGAAGCUUGCUUUUCUGAUCUAGUGGCGGACGGGUGAGUAACACGUGAGCAAUCUUCCUUUCAGAGGGGGAUACCGAUUGGAAACGAUCGUUAAUACCGCAUAACAUAAUUGAACCGCAUGAUUUGAUUAUCAAAGAUUUAUCGCUGAAAGAUGAGCUCGCGUCUGAUUAGCUAGUUGGUAAGGUAACGGCUUACCAAGGCGACGAUCAGUAGCCGGACUGAGAGGUUGAUCGGCCACAUUGGGACUGAGACACGGCCCAGACUCCUACGGGAGGCAGCAGUGGGGAAUAUUGCACAAUGGAGGAAACUCUGAUGCAGCGAUGCCGCGUGAGGGAAGAAGGUUUUAGGAUUGUAAACCUCUGUCUUCAGGGACGAAAAAAGACGGUACCUGAGGAGGAAGCUCCGGCUAACUACGUGCCAGCAGCCGCGGUAAUACGUAGGGAGCGAGCGUUGUCCGGAAUUACUGGGUGUAAAGGGAGCGUAGGCGGGAUCGCAAGUCAGAUGUGAAAACUAUGGGCUUAACCCAUAAACUGCAUUUGAAACUGUGGUUCUUGAGUGAAGUAGAGGUAAGCGGAAUUUCCUAGUGUAGCGGUGAAAUGCGUAGAUAUUAGGAGGAACAUCAGUGGCGAAGGCGGCUUACUGGGCUUUAACUGACGCUGAGGCUCGAAAGCGUGGGGAGCAAACAGGAUUAGAUACCCUGGUAGUCCACGCCGUAAACGAUGAUUACUAGGUGUGGGGGGACUGACCCCUUCCGUGCCGCAGCAAACGCAAUAAGUAAUCCACCUGGGGAGUACGACCGCAAGGUUGAAACUCAAAGGAAUUGACGGGGGCCCGCACAAGCAGUGGAGUAUGUGGAUUAAUUCGAAGCAACGCGAAGAACCUUACCAGGUCUUGACAUCGUAUGCAUAGCUCAGAGAUGAGUGAAAUCUCUUCGGAGACAUAUAGACAGGUGGUGCAUGGUUGUCGUCAGCUCGUGUCGUGAGAUGUUGGGUUAAGUCCCGCAACGAGCGCAACCCUUACUGUUAGUUGCUACGCAAGAGCACUCUAGCAGGACUGCCGUUGACAAAACGGAGGAAGGUGGGGAUGACGUCAAAUCAUCAUGCCCCUUAUGACCUGGGCCUCACACGUACUACAAUGGCUGUCAACAGAGGGAUGCAAAGCCGCGAGGUGGAGCGAACCCCUAAAAGCAGUCUUAGUUCGGAUUGUAGGCUGCAACCCGCCUACAUGAAGUCGGAAUUGCUAGUAAUCGCAGAUCAGCAUGCUGCGGUGAAUACGUUCCCGGGCCUUGUACACACCGCCCGUCACGCCAUGGGAGUCGGUAACACCCGAAGCCAAUAGUCUAACCGCAAGGAGGACGCAGUCGAA
Molecule: ribosomal RNA, 1413 nt
Filed under: uncultured organism
Description: 16S ribosomal RNA
Rfam family: Bacterial small subunit ribosomal RNA
Source: RNAcentral